UAGGCAAACUUGUGGAAACGCAAGGACGCAAAGCCAAGGGUCUAACCACAUUUUUAAUGUGUAAUGACAGCCGGUUGC
RNAcentral lists this non-coding RNA (78 nucleotides) under pig gut metagenome. RNAcentral's name for it is "Cyclic di-GMP-I riboswitch". It matches the Rfam family "c-di-GMP-I riboswitch aptamer", at positions 10 to 83 of the family's 87-position model. From Rfam's summary of the family: GEMM was predicted in a large-scale screen for bacterial structured RNA regulatory elements. Genes associated with GEMM are involved in a diverse array of functions, including chemotaxis regulation, signal transduction, secretion and chitin. The record is from RNAcentral.